UUGGAGGGCAAGUCUGGUGCCAGCAGCCGCGGUAAUUCCAGCUCCGAUAGCGUAUAUUAAAGUUGUUGCAGUUAAAAAGCUCGUAGUUGAAUUUCGGGAUCAAUAUUUCGGUCAUGCCGUUGGUAUGCACUGUUAUCAUUGAUUUCUCACCUUCUAAAGAACCGUAAUGCCAUUAAUUUGGUGUUACGGGGAAUUAGGACUGUUACCUUGAAAAAAUUAGAGUGUUUAAAGCAGGCUCACGCUUGAAUACAUUAGCAUGGAAUAAUGAAAUAGGACAUCCGAUUCUAUUUUGUUGGUUUCUAGGAUCGAUGUAAUGAUUAAUAGGGAUAGUUGGGGGCAUUAGUAUUCAAUUGUCAGAGGUGAAAUUCUUGGAUUUAUUGAAGACUAACUACUGCGAAAGCAUUUGCCAAGGAUGUUUUCAUUAAUCAAGAACGAAAGUUAGGGGAUCGAAGACGAUCAGAUACCGUCGUAGUCUUAACCAUAAACUAUGCCGACUAGGGAUCGGAUGAUGUUAAUUUUUUAAUGACUCAUUCGGCGCCUUACGGGAAAC
RNAcentral lists this ribosomal RNA (550 nucleotides) under Funneliformis mosseae. RNAcentral's name for it is "SSU rRNA". It matches the Rfam family "Eukaryotic small subunit ribosomal RNA", at positions 548 to 1098 of the family's 1831-position model. The record is from RNAcentral. Lineage: Eukaryota; Fungi; Glomeromycota; Glomeromycetes; Glomerales; Glomeraceae.